ACUGCUCAGUAACACGUGGAUAACCUGCCCUUGGGUCCGGCAUAACCCCGGGAAACUGGGGAUAAUUCCGGAUAACGCAUAUGUGCUGGAAUGCUUUAUGCGUAAAAUGGAUUCGUCCGCCCAAGGAUGGGUCUGCGGCCUAUCAGGUAGUAGUGGGUGUAAUGUACCUACUAGCCGACAACGGGUACGGGUUGUGAGAGCAAGAGCCCGGAGAUGGAUUCUGAGACAUGAAUCCAGGCCCUACGGGGCGCAGCAGGCGCGAAAACUUUACAAUGCGGGAAACCGUGAUAAGGGGACACCGAGUGUCAGCAUCAUAUGCUGGCUGUCCAGGUGUGUAAAAUACACCUGUUAGUAAGGGCCGGGCAAGACCGGUGCCAGCCGCCGCGGUAACACCGGCGGCCCGAGUGGUGAUCGUGAUUAUUGGGUCUAAAGGGUCCGUAGCCGGUUUGGUCAGUCCUCCGGGAAAUCUGAUAGCUCAACUAUUAGGCUAUCGGGGGAUACUACCAGACUUGGAACCGGGAGAGGUAAGAGGUGCUACAGGGGUAGGAGUGAAAUCUUGUAAUCCCUGUGGGACCACCUGUGGCGAAGGCGUCUUACCAGAACGGGUUCGACGGUGAGGGACGAAAGCUGGGGGCACGAACCGGAUUAGAUACCCGGGUAGUCCCAGCCGUAAACGAUGCUCGCUAGGUGUCAGGCAUGGCGCGACCGUGUCUGGUGCCGCAGGGAAGCCGUGAAGCGAGCCACCUGGGAAGUACGGCCGCAAGGCUGAAACUUAAAGGAAUUGGCGGGGGGAGCACAA
RNAcentral lists this ribosomal RNA (799 nucleotides) under uncultured archaeon. Its description in RNAcentral is "bacterial SSU rRNA". It matches the Rfam family "Archaeal small subunit ribosomal RNA", at positions 85 to 881 of the family's 1478-position model. The record is from RNAcentral.